RNAcentral lists this ribosomal RNA (253 nucleotides) under uncultured bacterium. RNAcentral describes it as "partial 16S ribosomal RNA". It matches the Rfam family "Bacterial small subunit ribosomal RNA", at positions 524 to 776 of the family's 1533-position model. The record is from RNAcentral.
UACGUAGGUGGCAAGCGUUGUCCGGAUUUAUUGGGUUUAAAGGGUGCGUAGGCGGCUUUGUAAGUCAGUGGUGAAAUAUGGCAGCUCAACUGUCAGGGUGCCAUUGAUACUGCAGAGCUUGAGUACAGAUGAGGUAGGCGGAAUUGAUGGUGUAGCGGUGAAAUGCAUAGAUAUGACCCGGAACACCGAUUGCGAAGGCAGCCUACUAAGCAAUUAUUGACGCUGAGGCACGAAAGCGUGGGGAUCAAACAGG